GUGAGUCAUCGAAUCUUUGAACGCACCUUGCGCUCCUUGGUACUCCGAGGAGCAUGCCUGUUUGAGUGUCAUUAAAUUCUCAACCUCAUCAGUUUUGUAACGAGACUGUGAAGUUGGAUGUGGGGGUUUGUGCAGGCUGCCUCAGUGCGGUCUGCUCCCCUGAAAUGCAUUAGCGAGUUCAAACUGAGCUCCGUCUAUUGGUGUGAUAAUUAUCUACGCCGUGGAUUGGGCUUAGACUUGCUUCUAACCGUCCGCAAGGACAAUCCUUUGACAAUUUGACCUCAAAUCAGGUAGGACUACCCGCUGAACUUAA
RNAcentral lists this ribosomal RNA (313 nucleotides) under uncultured fungus. RNAcentral describes it as "eukaryotic LSU rRNA". The stretch from base 1 to 71 matches the Rfam family "5.8S ribosomal RNA", at positions 84 to 154 of the family's 154-position model. The record is from RNAcentral. Lineage: Eukaryota; Fungi.